UAAAGAUUCAAUCUUUAUGCCCUAUUUCAUAUAAAGAUCGAAUCUUUCAACAAGUAGAAGUGAGAUUCGAGUGUUUUGAGACUUGUUAUUGAUUUUACUAUCCACAAACACAUCAUUUGCUUUAUAAUUUUUUUUUUAGUUUUUUAAUGAUAUGGGGGUCCUAUUAUGUUUGUGAGUCUAAUUCCCUCAAAUCAGGUGUGUGUGUGUUUUAAUUUAACAAUUCGAGUGCAUUGCAUUGAACUUACAAAUUGAGGUUUGUGUGGAUCCUAAUAGAGGUUAAUGAAAGAUCCUCUAGUUCUCGAGCUAACAACAAAGCCUAUUCAAUAUAAAGAUUCAAUCUUUAUGCCCUAUUUCAUAUAAAGAUCGAAUCUUUCAACAAGUAGAAGUGAGAUUCGAGUGUUUUAGACUUGUUAUUGAUUUUACUAUCCACAAACACAUCAUUUGCUUUAUAAUUUUUUUUUUGUUUUUUAAUGAUAUGGGGGUCCUAUUAUGUUUGUGAGUCUAAUUCCCUCAAAUCAGGUGUGUGUGUGUGUGUUUUAAUUUAACAAUUCGAGUGCAUUGCAUUGAACUUACAAAUUGAGGUUUGUGUGGAUCCUAAUAGAGGUUAAUGAAAGAUCCUCAGUUCUCGAG
This is a long non-coding RNA of Beta vulgaris subsp. vulgaris (sugar beet), 630 nucleotides long. RefSeq lists it as uncharacterized. The transcript has 3 exons. The record is from RefSeq and is a predicted model, not a curated record. Lineage: Eukaryota; Viridiplantae; Streptophyta; Magnoliopsida; Caryophyllales; Amaranthaceae.